GCUUACGACCACACCGGCCUGAGUACGCCUGAUCUCGUCUGAUCUCGGAAGCUAAGCAGGGUCGGGCCUGGUUAGUACUUGGAUGGGAGACUUCCUGGGAAUACCAGUGCUGUAAGCU
Oncorhynchus tshawytscha (Chinook salmon) is the source of this 118-nucleotide ribosomal RNA. NCBI's taxonomy places the organism in Eukaryota, Metazoa, Chordata, Actinopteri, Salmoniformes, Salmonidae. The record is from Ensembl.